GCAAGUCGAGCGCACUCUUCGGGGUGAGCGGCGGACGGGUUAGUAACGCGUGGGAAUAUACCCUUCACUACGGAAUAGCCUCGGGAAACUGAGAGUAAUACCGUAUACGCCCUUCGGGGGAAAGAUUUAUCGGUGAUGGAUUAGCCCGCGUUAGAUUAGGUAGUUGGUGGGGUAAUGGCUCACCAAGCCGACGAUCCAUAGCUGGUUUGAGAGGAUGAUC
This 220-nucleotide ribosomal RNA is filed under the name uncultured bacterium. RNAcentral's name for it is "partial 16S ribosomal RNA". It matches the Rfam family "Bacterial small subunit ribosomal RNA", at positions 57 to 305 of the family's 1533-position model. The record is from RNAcentral.